CCCUGCUGGGGGCAGACAUAGUGAACGUGGGAGUCGAUGCCUCCGGCGGUCAGGAUGAGGUGUUCGCCGGAAAUGGCGUCGGUGUUGUUGCCGACCACCAGCAGGGGGUCCACGUUGUCCAUGGUGGAGGGGUUGCCCGCCUUGCCGAUGCCCACGAUUUUGCCGUCGCGGACGCCGACGUCGGCUUUGACCACGCCCUGCACGGCGUCGAUGAUGGUCACGUUGGUGAUCACCAGGUCGAGCACGCCGGUAUCGCGGUGCGAGCGGUCGUCGCUGCCCAUGCCGGCGCG
This 290-nucleotide small RNA is filed under the name uncultured Mailhella sp. RNAcentral describes it as "5' ureB small RNA". It matches the Rfam family "5' ureB small RNA". Lineage: Bacteria; Pseudomonadati; Thermodesulfobacteriota; Desulfovibrionia; Desulfovibrionales; Desulfovibrionaceae. The record is from RNAcentral.